This 2198-nucleotide small RNA is filed under the name Pan troglodytes (chimpanzee). RNAcentral's name for it is "retained intron". Lineage: Eukaryota; Metazoa; Chordata; Mammalia; Primates; Hominidae. The record is from RNAcentral.
GAGGGUGGGUGAGUGGUCAGAGGCGGGGACCCCCUUGUUAGGAGGUUAUGCAUAAUCUCAGUUGCAAUAUCUGAAUUACUGGGGUGGUAAUGGUGGGCCUGGGAAGGAAGGGAGCAGAGCACAAGGCUUUUCAAAGGAAGGGCAUGUUGGAUUUGCAAGGGAUUGGUUGGGCAGGGUGGAAGACAGAGCUAGAUCUUACUGUUUACUGACGAGGCACAAAGUGUUGGGUGAAGGACUAUGGUUGGCAGAUAGGAUGCUACUGGGAGACCACCUUGGAUUCAUCUUUGUUUCCUCUCUAGGCCAUGGCACUUGCAUCUAGUCAGUUGCCUGUAGCUGGGUCAAGGUGAGGUAGGGGGCCAGAUCUCCAUCACCAGAAGUGGCUUAUGGGAGACAGUAAAACUUCUGGGGUUGGGGCCUUGGAGAGUCCCAAAUGGUUGCUGUGGUUUUUACUUUUAUUUUUAUAGAUUUGGGGGAUACCAGUACAGUUUUGCUACAUAGAUAUAUUGCAUAGUGGUGAAGUCAAGGCUUUUAAUUUAACCAUGAUCCAAACAGUGAACAUUGUACCCAGUAGGUAAUUUUUCAACCCUCUCUCGGUUGCUGUGGUUUUGGAGACAGGUUCAUGGUGAAGCUGGCUGAAGAGACAGAUGGGAUCAUUGUCUCCAAUGACCAGUUCCGGGACCUGGCGGAGGAGUCUGAGAAGUGGAUGGCAAUCAUCAGAGAACGCCUGCUGCCCUUUACCUUUGUGGGAAACCUCUUCAUGGUACCUGAUGACCCACUGGGGCGAAACGGCCCCACCCUGGAUGAAUUUCUGAAGAAGCCAGCCAGGACACAGGGGUCUUCUAAGGCUCAGCAUCCUUCCAGGGGCUUUGCAGAACAUGGGAAACAGCAGCAGGGGAGAGAAGAGGAAAAAGGUAGUGGUGGCAUUCGGAAGACCCGGGAAACAGAGCGGCUCCGGCGGCAGCUGCUGGAGGUGUUUUGGGGUCAGGAUCACAAAGUGGACUUCAUCCUGCAGCGGGAGCCAUACUGCCGGGACAUCAACCAACUGUCUGAGGCCCUGCUCAGUCUUAACUUUUGAGCCUCACCUGCUUGAGUGGCUGCCGCCCUGUCAGCUCCAGCCGCCUCCAGCUCAGCCCUUUCUGUGAGAGUCCCUCUGCUGCUCACUCUGAUCCAGAGGCACCCUGAGUUGGCGCUUUGGAUCAGGGAAGCCACUUUGGGACAGGUCUAUAAAGUGAACUUGAUCUUACUGAGUCAGGACCUCAGCCAGCUCUCAAGAGGUUCUGCUCAGCCUUAACUUCUCAACUUUGCCUUAGCACAGGGUUUCUGUAGGGAGUGGGGGCUGCUAGAGGGAUUAAUUCCGGAGACUGAGACUGUUGGCUCCACCUCCAAGCUGAGCUAGGGUGGAGGGCAGGGUGGGCAGGAAGUGACAGGAAGUUAAGCUGUUCCUCUCCCUGGCUGCUGCUCUGGAUGGCCAGAGAACAAGAUGCUCCCUUGCUGAGCUCCUGGGAGCGUGGAAGGAGAUGCUAGGCCCUGGCACAGUGUUAUGUGGACUGGGCCACGAUAGGGUGGAGUGAGCUAGUGAAGAAGGCAGAGGGAGACUUGGCUUCUGGUCUCAGCUAUGCCUGUUUGUGACCUUGAUUGAGUUGCUUGGGCUUUACUUCUGCCUACAAAUCAGGGGUAAAAAUACCUGUUGGGAGGAGAAAUGAGAACAUAGAGGAAAGCCUCUUGGAGGAAAGGUGCUUGGACCAAGUCUCAGGUGUGUCUGCCUGUGGCUGCACAGGCUCUCUAACCGAAACCUCACUUUCAGAGAGAUGUGGGUCCUUUGUCUCCAGGAUCCACACCCUAGAUUUUAACACUGCAUUCUCACUAUAACAUGCCCUAUAAUGGCUGCAUCCCUUUUGAGCAACCUCCAAAAUCUACAUUUACACAGUAGGUAAAUUAGGGAUGACUGCAUUAUCAAAAUACUCUCAGGGUUCCUAUAAAUGGCAGCUCUCCUGUUGUAUUCAGGUGUUGUUUACAGACUAACAAAUGUGUUGGCAAAUCCCUGGUUAGAUGCACUUCCUGGUGUUGAGAUGAACACGUCGAUUUUUCACCAAAUCGAUGAAGCCAUGCUCUGCAAUGACAAUAUUAAUGUGAUCCGACCCUAACAUUUUCUCUAUGGAAGACGUAUGUUGCAUAAAGCAAGGCACACUUCUGCUUUA